UUGCCCUAGUAACGGCGAGUGAAGCGGCAACAGCUCAAAUUUGAAAUCUGGCUCUUUCAGAGUCCGAGUUGUAAUUUGCAGAGGGCGCUUUGGCUUUGGCAGCGGUCCAAGUUCCUUGGAACAGGACGUCACAGAGGGUGAGAAUCCCGUACGUGGUCGCUAGCUAUUGCCGUGUAAAGCCCCUUCGACGAGUCGAGUUGUUUGGGAAUGCAGCUCUAAAUGGGAGGUAAAUUUCUUCUAAAGCUAAAUAUUGGCCAGAGACCGAUAGCGCACAAGUAGAGUGAUCGAAAGAUGAAAAGCACUUUGGAAAGAGAGUCAAACAGCACGUGAAAUUGUUGAAAGGGAAGCGCUUGCAGCCAGACUUGCUUGCAGUUGCUCAUCCGGGCUUUUGCCCGGUGCAUUCUUCUGUAGGCAGGCCAGCAUCAGUUUGGGCGGUGGGAUAAAGGUCUCUGUCAUGUACCUCUCUUCGGGGAGGCCUUAUAGGGGAGACGACAUACCACCAGCCUAGACUGAGGUCCGCGCAUCUGCUAGGAUGCUGGCGUAAUGGCUGUAAGCGGCCCGUCUUGAAACACGGACCAAGGAGUCUAACAUCUAUGCGAGUGUUUGGGUGUCAAGCCCGAGCGCGUAAUGAAAGUGAACGGAGGUGGGAACCCGCAAGGGUGCACCAUCGACCGAUCCUGAAGUUUACGGAAGGAUUUGAGUAAGAGCAUGGCUGUUGGGACCCGAAAGAUGGUGAACUAUGCUUGAAUAGGGUGAAGCCAGAGGAAACUCUGGUGGAGGCUCGCAGCGGUUCUGACGUGCAAAUCGAUCGUCAAAUUUGGGCAU
Molecule: ribosomal RNA, 825 nt
Filed under: Bipolaris heveae
Lineage: Eukaryota; Fungi; Ascomycota; Dothideomycetes; Pleosporales; Pleosporaceae
Description: eukaryotic LSU rRNA
Rfam family: Eukaryotic large subunit ribosomal RNA
Source: RNAcentral